CGGCCGUAACUAUAACGGUCCUAAGGUAGCGAAAUUCCUUGUCGGGUAAGUUCCGACCCGCACGAAAGGCGUAACGAUCUGGGCGCUGUCUCGACCAGAGACUCGGCGAAAUUGUAUUACCGGUAAAGAUGCCGGUUACCUGCAGCAAGACGGAAAGACCCCGUGAACCUUUACUGCAGCUUGACAUUGGAUUUUGGUUCAUCAUGUACAGGAUAGGUGGGAGGCUGUGAAGCUGGGGCGCAAGCCCUGGUGGAGCCAACCUUGGGAUACCACCCUUGGUGUGCUGGGAUUCUAACGGUAAGCCGUUACCCGGCUAUCGGACAGUGUCAGGUGGGCAGUUUGACUGGGGCGGUCGCCUCAAUUUAGGGGCGCCCUGGCGGUAACGUCAGGGGCAAAUCUGGCUGUAUGCUGGGAGGUCCGUUCUCUAACCUAACUUUUGCCUCCAAAUAAAGUUGGGUGAAGGGAUGUAGAAUCCAGGGCUACCUUUAGCUAACUAUAAACAGUUAGUAGGUGAAAAUGCUUCUGGUGCGGAUAAUCAGCAGGGAAGUCCUAGUGACCCCUCAACGACUAUACGCCAGACUUGCUAUAGGCUUAGUAUAGUAUCAUGCCGUUAGCAAGAUGAUAUAGUCUGAACUUCAUAGCGAUAUGAAGCCCUAAGGGGCGUCUGGCAGGGAGGAUGAGAUGCGUUCUAAUGAGAUUGAGGCUUAUAAACAUAAGCUAAAACUUAGUCGCAACCAGCGAGAUAUUCUAGUUGGGUUAUUGUUAGGCGAUGCCCAUCUAGAAACUCAGAACAGUGGCAGAACCUAUAGGUUAAAAGUCGAGUAUUCUAUCAAGAAUAAGGACUAUUGCCAGCAUAUAUAUGAGAUAUUCAAAGAUUGGGUUCUGACACCACCAAGAGAAAGGACGGUAAAAAGCGGCGAGCAUCAAUCAACCAACAUAGUUUUUAGCACCUUAAGUCAUGAAGCAUUUCGAUUUUAUGCUCAGCAGUUUUACAAAGAUGGCAAAAAGAUUGUGCCAUCAAUAGUAACAAAACUACUGACAGAGCAGGGCGUGGCCUAUUGGUUUAUGGAUGAUGGAUCAAUUAAGUCAGGCCAAUCGAAGGGAAUCAUAUUUAACACACAGGGUUUUACUAGGCCCGAUGUUAAAAAACUUAUAGGUGCUUUAGAGAACAAGUUUGGAUUAGAUGCAUGGGAACGCAAGCAAAAAGAGGGUUAUCAGAUUUAUCUUUCGGGCAAGAGCUUGGAUAAAUUUCUAGCUCUGGUAGAUAGAUGGAUUAUUGAAUCCAUGCGUUAUAAAAUCCCCAAAGCCAGGCGAACAUAAUUGCCUAAAAUGUAACGGAGGCGCUCGAAGGUUCCCUCAGGCUGGUUGGCAAUCAGUCGUAGAGUGUAAGGGCACAAGGGAGCUUGACUGCGAGACGUACAUGUCGAGCAGGUGCGAAAGCAGGACCUAGUGAUCCGGCGGUUCCGAGUGGAAGGGCCGUCGCUCAACGGAUAAAAGGUACUCCGGGGAUAACAGGCUGAUCCCGCCCAAGAGUCCACAUCGACGGCGGGGUUUGGCACCUCGAUGUCGGCUCAUCGCAUCCUGGGGCUGAAGUAGGUCCCAAGGGUUCGUCUGUUCGCCGAUUAAAGCGGUACGCGAGCUGGGUUCAGAACGUCGUGAGACAGUUCGGUCCCUAUCUGCUGCAGGCGUAGGAGAUUUGAGGGGAGUCGUCCCUAGUACGAGAGGACCGGGAUGAACAGACCUCUAGUGUACCAGUUGUUCUGCCAAGAGCACUGCUGGGUAGCUAUGUCUGGACUGGAUAACCGCUGAAAGCAUCUAAGCGGGAAGCCAACCCCAAGAUGAGAUCUCCCACUCUCACGUAGAGUUAAGACCCCAGGUAGACUACCUGGUUGAUAGGCCGCAGGUGGAAGAGCAGUAAUGCUUGUAGCCGAGCGGUACUAAUUGGUCGAGGACUUGGUCGU
This 1961-nucleotide ribosomal RNA is filed under the name Bacillota bacterium. RNAcentral's name for it is "partial 23S ribosomal RNA". It matches the Rfam family "Bacterial large subunit ribosomal RNA", at positions 1931 to 2925 of the family's 2925-position model. Lineage: Bacteria; Bacillati; Bacillota. The record is from RNAcentral.